RNAcentral lists this ribosomal RNA (253 nucleotides) under uncultured Sphingomonas sp. RNAcentral describes it as "partial 16S ribosomal RNA". It matches the Rfam family "Bacterial small subunit ribosomal RNA", at positions 524 to 776 of the family's 1533-position model. The record is from RNAcentral. Lineage: Bacteria; Pseudomonadati; Pseudomonadota; Alphaproteobacteria; Sphingomonadales; Sphingomonadaceae.
UACGGAGGGAGCUAGCGUUGUUCGGAAUUACUGGGCGUAAAGCGCGCGUAGGCGGCUUUGCAAGUUAGAGGUGAAAGCCCGGAGCUCAACUUCGGAAUUGCCUUUAAAACUGCAUCGCUUGAAUCCGGGAGAGGUGAGUGGAAUUCCGAGUGUAGAGGUGAAAUUCGUAGAUAUUCGGAAGAACACCAGUGGCGUAGGCGGCUCACUGGACCGGUAUUGACGCUGAGGUGCGAAAGCGUGGGGAGCAAACAGG